UUUAGGUGUUAUUUUUUUUAACACAAUAAAACAAUAUCAUUUUAAAUUAUGAUAUUUUCCUAUGUAUUUUCUGAGUGAUGUACUUGUAAUUUAUGAUCUAACAUCUUGGCCUUCCUAUCCUGGACAGACAUACUGAAGAUCCUCUGACAGACCAACCCAUUUUGUGCGUCGUAAUGAACCUGUAAUUAAUCAUCAAUACGGAACAUUGGUCUGUCUAUCCUGAAGGCACACACUGAAGAUGGCGAAAUGCCGAAACCCAGUCUGACAGAACAACCCAGUGACGAUAGUGAAACCAGGCGAUCGUUUGUCGAGCACGUUAACAGUUAUGGAUCGUUAAUUUGAGUUUUGUCAUAUUUUUUCCCAUCUGCUCUACGUCCGAACAUGCGAUGUCACCCCUUUCUGACUCGCAUCUCAUCAUCGCCGACCUAGGAUAAACUUUAACUGUUCUCAUAAUGAGUGGAUGCGGAAGCUGUCUUUUUUUUUCCCGAACGCGCCCGCCCCACCAAGUCAAAGAAGCCGGGUGUUUCUUUGUAGCAGGUGCACCAAGGAACUCUCUCUGAUCUUUUGAGAUCGGUUAUCGUUUUUUCGCUUCUUUUUCUCCACUUGAAUAUCCAGUUUUCAUUAAAAUAUCAAUCCCUGAUCUAUACGAAAGCAAUAUAAG
Molecule: long non-coding RNA, 661 nt
Organism: Cimex lectularius (bed bug)
Lineage: Eukaryota; Metazoa; Arthropoda; Insecta; Hemiptera; Cimicidae
Exons: 3
Source: RefSeq, a predicted model, not a curated record